UUAGAUGAUUUAACAAGUUUAUACAAUUCUUAUUGUCAUAUAGCAGAGAAUGGCUGGUUUGAUGUUUGAUGUAUGAUGGUGGUCCAUAACUGUAUAAAGCAAUUGGAACUGAGGUGCUUCAUACAUUUAUAAGAAUCAUCCUGUGAAACUAUGUGAAAAUACAGUAAAAUGAACACUGGGUUUUAUCUUUAGCAGUCAUUCAGGAAGGCAGUGGCCAAAGAGCGCAAGAAGAGUGCUGAUAGAGAGAGAGAGAAGGCUGUUUCAGGCAUGUCACAGAUGUGCGGUGGACAUUAAGCCUUUAUUUGCAAUUGGACUCUAAGUCGCUACUCCUCCCUUAAGAAGUUUAUCCGCCUGUACAUGUAUUUGCGCUACAGUCAUAAGAGGGGGGAUGAAGACAACGCAAAGUGGGUGGUUUACUUUGAGAAGUGUUUGGUUUAAAAGAGAGAGAGAAAGAAAGAGAGAGAGACCGAUAAAGUUGAGGCAAGCAAGGAAGUCAGAUUACAGCACUCUAUAAACAUCUUACAGUGCUUACCAAGACAUCUUACCAGUGAACAAGAGCCUUGUGAAGACAGAGAGGAGGAUAUAACACAUCUUUGAACUCCUUUUCUUUCAACGAGAAGAAUGAAAUCUCAAAUAAAGAGAACGUUUUCAAACUUCUUCUUUGAAUACGAAACUCCUCGACAGGUUCUGGUCAGGAACAAAAGAGUUGCAGUUGUGUGCCGAAUCAUCCAAAUGGGUGUUCUAGCUUACAUCAUUGGGUGGGUGUUCAUGUAUGAGAAAGGCUACCAGAUAGUAGAUAUUGCCAUAAGCUCCAUCUUCACCAAGAUGAAGGGAGUGUCCUUCACAAAUAUCAGCGAAAAGGAGCGGAUAUGGGAUGCAGCUGAUUAUGUUUUUCCUGAACAGGGUGACUCGUCUUUUGUUGUGAUGACGAACUACAUUGCCACUGUGGGACAGAAACAGGACAAAUGUCCUGAGCUGCCAGAUGGGAAGAACAAAUGCACUUCUGACGCACACUGUGAUGAGGGCAAAUACAAACGUAUGGGAAAUGGGCACAUGACGGGCAGGUGUAUAAACGAUACAAGUACUUGUGAGAUCUACUCCUGGUGUCCAGUUGAAGAUGACCGUAAAAUACCAGACCCUCCAGUCCUGCUGACAGCAGAAAACUACACACUGUUCAUCAAAAACUCGAUUACCUUUCGCCAGUUUAAUGUAGUAAGGAGUAACUUGGUGGAGAGUGUGAAUCAGAGUUACAUCAAUACAUGUUUGUAUCAUCCCAAGACUGAUCCACUGUGUCCUAUCUUCAGAUUGGGAGACAUUGUUGAGCGUUCUGGGUUCAGUUUCUCAGAGAUAGCUCGUGUGGGUGGUGCUAUAGGAGUCCUCAUUGACUGGGACUGCAAUCUGGACCUGAGUAUCAGACACUGCAAACCAAAGUAUGAAUUCUAUGGUCUUUAUGGAACGGGGAAAAAUGAGGACAAAGAAGAGAAACCAUCAUUGGGAUACAAUUUUAGAUAUGCUAAAUAUUAUGUGGAGAAUGGGGUGGAAAAGAGAACGCUAAUGAAGGUGUUUGGUGUACGGAUAGACAUCAUUGUUCAUGGACGGGCAGGAAAAUUUGAUAUCAUCCCUACGUUGACCGCUAUAGGCUCAGGAGUAGGAAUCUUUGGAGUGGCAACCGUUGUGUGCGAUAUGCUGCUCCUAUAUUUAGUUUCAAAGCGAGAUUUCUACAAAAACAUGAAAUUCAAGCAUACAGAAAUCGGGGAAGAGAAAGGAAAGUGAGGCCACAUCUUAACCUCCAGGACUCCCACUCUAGCAGCCUUCUGAGAAAGAAACACAUUGGGGUUGAUAGGAGCAUGGGAAAUGAUCUCAGAUAUGUAUUUGCCCUUCCACAGAAGCCAACCUUGCCCCAGUCAAAGACCGAAAGAGAUCUACCGAAGGAGUGAAGUCUGGAUGGCUGCCAUGACGACUGACUACUGCACUGAAGAGAGAGAGAGAGAGAGAGAGAGAGAGAGAGAGAGAGAGAGAGAGAGAGAGAGAGAGAGAGAGAAAACACCUCAACACUGGAGCUUCAACAAGACGGCUGGGAGACUUGACACAGAACUGUCAGACAUCACUUUUCCUUUCUAAAUAACAUUUCCUUCCCAAACUACUGAGGAAAGACAUUAAAUCAGUGUUAUGAUUUAAGACAUAACUAAUACCCACUGAAUGUGUUCAUAUUGAGAGGCUUAGGACUGUAAAGGUACACAAUUGUAUGAGGGUUUUGAGGUCUUUACAAGGUUCCCAAAGUUUUUGCCAAUUACCAUGUAAUGUCUGGAUAUGUCACCCAUAUUCAACUCUGGAUAAUGUAUCACCUUAAAAUUGCUAUUUUUAUUUACUGA
This is an RNA transcript of Sinocyclocheilus anshuiensis, 2372 nucleotides long. It is a transcript of the gene named P2X purinoceptor 1, with no coding region annotated. The transcript has 13 exons. The record is from RefSeq and is a predicted model, not a curated record. NCBI's taxonomy places the organism in Eukaryota, Metazoa, Chordata, Actinopteri, Cypriniformes, Cyprinidae.